GCCCCGGUCGUCUAGCCAGGUUAGGACGCCACCCUUUCAAGGUGGAGAUCAAGGGAUCGAAGCCCUUCCGGGGUACCA
Molecule: transfer RNA, 78 nt
Filed under: Dehalococcoidia bacterium
Lineage: Bacteria; Bacillati; Chloroflexota; Dehalococcoidia
Description: tRNA-Glu
Rfam family: tRNA
About the family: Transfer RNA (tRNA) molecules are approximately 80 nucleotides in length. Their secondary structure includes four short double-helical elements and three loops (D, anti-codon, and T loops). Further hydrogen bonds mediate the characteristic L-shaped molecular structure. tRNAs have two regions of fundamental functional importance: the anti-codon, which is responsible for specific mRNA codon recognition, and the 3' end, to which the tRNAs corresponding amino acid is attached (by aminoacyl-tRNA synthetases). tRNAs cope with the degeneracy of the genetic code in two manners: having more than one tRNA (with a specific anti-codon) for a particular amino acid; and 'wobble' base-pairing, i.e. permitting non-standard base-pairing at the 3rd anti-codon position.
Source: RNAcentral